UAAGCGGAGGAAAAGAAACUAACAAGGAUUCCCCUAGUAACGGCGAGUGAACCGGGAAGAGCUCAAAUUUGAAAUCUGGCGUCCUCAGGGCGUCCGAGUUGUAAUCUAUAGAGGCGUUUUCCGUGCCGGACCGUGUCCAAGUUCCUUGGAACAGGAUAUCAAAGAGGGUGACAAUCCCGUACUUGACACGACGACCGGUGCUCUGUGAUACGUCUUCUACGAGUCGAGUUGUUUGGGAAUGCAGCUCAAAAUGGGUGGUGAGUUCCAUCUAAAGCUAAAUAUUGGCGAGAGACCGAUAGCGAACAAGUACCGUGAGGGAAAGAUGAAAAGCACUUUGGAAAGAGAGUUAAACAGUACGUGAAAUUGUUGAAAGGGAAACGAUUGAAGUCAGUCGUGACCGAGAGGCUCAGCCGGUUCUGCCGGUGUAUUCCCCUCGGUCGGGUCAACAUCAGUUUUGUCCGGUGGAUAAGGGCGGUAGGAAGGUGGCACCCUCGGGUGUGUUAUAGCCUGCCGUCGCAUACAUCGGGUGAGACUGAGGAACGCAGCUCGCCUUUAUGGCCGGGGUUCGCCCACGUCCGAGCUUAGGAUGUUGACAUAAUGGCUUUAAACGACCCGUCUUGAAACAC
RNAcentral lists this ribosomal RNA (626 nucleotides) under Papiliotrema laurentii. RNAcentral describes it as "eukaryotic LSU rRNA". It matches the Rfam family "Eukaryotic large subunit ribosomal RNA", at positions 47 to 662 of the family's 3401-position model. Lineage: Eukaryota; Fungi; Basidiomycota; Tremellomycetes; Tremellales; Rhynchogastremaceae. The record is from RNAcentral.